This 207-nucleotide ribosomal RNA is filed under the name uncultured bacterium. RNAcentral describes it as "partial 16S ribosomal RNA". It matches the Rfam family "Bacterial small subunit ribosomal RNA", at positions 568 to 774 of the family's 1533-position model. The record is from RNAcentral.
CGCGUAGGCGGGCUCUUAAGUCAGGGGUGAAAUCCUGUGGCUCAACCACAGAACUGCCCCUGAUACUGGGAGCCUCGAGUUCGAGAGAGGUUGGUGGAACUGCGAGUGUAGAGGUGAAAUUCGUAGAUAUUCGCAAGAACACCAGUGGCGAAGGCGGCCAACUGGCUCGAUACUGACGCUGAGGCGCGAAAGCGUGGGGAGCAAACA